CCAAUCCAUUGAAAAUGAAUGUU
RNAcentral lists this small nuclear RNA (23 nucleotides) under Arabidopsis thaliana (thale cress). RNAcentral's name for it is "snRNA_14959". Lineage: Eukaryota; Viridiplantae; Streptophyta; Magnoliopsida; Brassicales; Brassicaceae. The record is from RNAcentral.